AGCUCCAAUAGCGUAUAUUAAAGUUGUUGCAGUUAAAAGCUCGUAGUUGGAUUUCUGGCAGAGUGUCCUUUGGCCAGCAUGACGUUUGGUCCAGAGCGCUCUACCAUCCUUCUGUUAACCUUGUCAGCAUUCACUUGCUGGCCUGGGGCUCAGAUAUUUUACCUUGAGAAAAUUAGAGUGUUUCAGGCAGGCUUUCGCCGGAAUACAUUAGCAUGGAAUAAUGGAAAAGGACUUCAACCUCUUCUGUUGGUCUGAGAGGCUGUAGUAAUGAUUAAUAGGGAUAGUUGGGGGCAUUAGUACUCAACUGUCAGAGGUGAAAUUCUCCGAUUCGUUGAAGACUAACUUAUGCGAAAGCAUUUGCCAAGGAUGUUUUCA
This 375-nucleotide ribosomal RNA is filed under the name uncultured eukaryote. RNAcentral's name for it is "SSU rRNA". It matches the Rfam family "Eukaryotic small subunit ribosomal RNA", at positions 587 to 972 of the family's 1831-position model. The record is from RNAcentral.